CAGCCGCCGCGGUAAUACGGAGGAUCCAAGCGUUAUCCGGAUUUAUUGGGUUUAAAGGGUGCGUAGGUGGCCUGUUAAGUCAGGGGUGAAAGACGGUAGCUCAACUAUCGCAGUGCCUUUGAUACUGACGGGCUUGAAUGAACUAGAGGUAGGCGGAAUGUGACAAGUAGCGGUGAAAUGCAUAGAUAUGUCACAGAACACCAAUUGCGAAGGCAGCUUACUAUGGUUUUAUUGACACUGAGGCACGAAAGCGUGGGGAUCAAACAGGAUUAGAUACCCCGGUAGUCCCUGUCUCUUAUAA
This 301-nucleotide ribosomal RNA is filed under the name uncultured bacterium. Its description in RNAcentral is "partial 16S ribosomal RNA". It matches the Rfam family "Bacterial small subunit ribosomal RNA", at positions 509 to 809 of the family's 1533-position model. The record is from RNAcentral.